GAUGAACGCUGGCGGCGUGCCUAAUACAUGCAAGUCGAGCGAACAGACGAGGAGCUUGCUCCUCUGACGUUAGCGGCGGACGGGUGAGUAACACGUGGAUAACCUACCUAUAAGACUGGGAUAACUUCGGGAAACCGGAGCUAAUACCGGAUAAUAUAUUGAACCGCAUGGUUCAAUAGUGAAAGACGGUUUUGCUGUCACUUAUAGAUGGAUCCGCGCCGCAUUAGCUAGUUGGUAAGGUAACGGCUUACCAAGGCAACGAUGCGUAGCCGACCUGAGAGGGGGGUCGGCCACACGGGAACUGAGACACGGUCCAUACUCCUACGGGAGGCAGCAGUAGGGAAUCGUCCGCAAUGGGCGAAAGCCUGACGGAGCAACGCCGCGUGAGUGAUGAAGGUCUUCGGAUCGUAAAACUCUGUUAUUAGGGAAGAACAAAUGUGUAAGUAACUAUACACGUCUUGACGGUACCUAAUCAGAAAGCCACGGCUAACUACGUG
Molecule: ribosomal RNA, 497 nt
Filed under: uncultured bacterium
Lineage: Bacteria
Description: partial 16S ribosomal RNA
Rfam family: Bacterial small subunit ribosomal RNA
Source: RNAcentral